UGGAGUUUGCUUCAUCUGUGGAUCC
This 25-nucleotide non-coding RNA is filed under the name Rattus norvegicus (Norway rat). The record is from RNAcentral. Lineage: Eukaryota; Metazoa; Chordata; Mammalia; Rodentia; Muridae.